CAAUAGCGUAUAUUAAACUUGUUGCAGUUAAAAAGCUCGUAGUUGAAUUUCUGCGUUAUCGAGUUAUUGACUCUUGUCUUUAAUCGAUUUCGCUUUUGGGAUUUAUCCCUUUUUACUUUGAGAAAAUUAGAGUGUUUCGAAGCAAGACUUUUGUCUUGAAUACUUCAGCAAUGGAAUAAUAGAGUAGGACUUUGGUUCUAUUUUGUUGGUUUUUGAACCUUAGUAAUGGUUAAUAGGAACGGUUGGGGGCAUUCGUAUUUAACUGUCAGUAGGUGAAAAUUCUUAGAUUUGUUGAAAGACGAACUACUGCGAAAAGCGAUUUGCCAAAG
This 329-nucleotide ribosomal RNA is filed under the name Babesia venatorum (nom. ined.). RNAcentral describes it as "SSU rRNA". It matches the Rfam family "Eukaryotic small subunit ribosomal RNA", at positions 592 to 963 of the family's 1831-position model. The record is from RNAcentral. Lineage: Eukaryota; Apicomplexa; Aconoidasida; Piroplasmida; Babesiidae.